UGUGAUGAAAGUACCGCGAACUGACGGAAUAGUUCGUUGAAGCACCUACCUAUAGGCCUUGUAGUCAAAUGCGCAAGGACUGGGGAAAUGCGAUAGUACCCGGAGUCUUCGGACAAAGGGAUAGUGUACCUAAGGGCUUCCAAGAAAAACCUCUAAACUUCAGGUUAUUAGUACCCGUACCGUAAACCGACACAGGUAGUCGAGGAGAGAAUCCUAAGGUGCUCGAGAGAUUCAUGGCUAAGGAAUUAGGCAAAAUAGACCUGUAACUUCGGGAGAAAGGUCGCCAGCAGCAAUGCUGGCCGCAGUGAAGAGGUCCAGGCGACUGUUUAUCAAAAACACAGGGCUCUGCAAAAUCGUAAGAUGAAGUAUAGGGCCUGACACCUGCCCGGUGCUGGAAGGUUAAGAGGAGAUGUUAUCUUCGGAGAAGCAUUGAAUUGAAGCCCCAGUAAACGGCGGCCGUAACAAUAACGGUCCUAAGGUAGCGAAAUUCCUUGUCGGGUAAGUUCCGACCUGCACGAAUGGUGUAACGAUCUGGACACUGUCUCAGCCAUGAGCUCGGUGAAAUUGUAGUAGCGGUGAAGAUGCCGCUUACCCGCAGUGGGACGAAAAGACCCUGUGCACCUUUACUAUAGCUUAGUAUUGACUUUGGAUAAGUGAUGUGUAGGAUAGGUGGGAGACUUCGAUCCAGCGUCGCCAGGCGUUGGUUAGUCAUUGUUGAAAUACCACCCUUUGCUUAUCUGAAGCCUAACCCCGCGCAUGCGGGGGACAUUGCUUGGUGGGUAGUUUGACUGGGGUGGUCGCCUCCAAAAGAGUAACGGAGGCUUCUAAAGGUUCCCUCAGUACGCUUGGUAACCGUGCGUAGAGUGCAAUGGCAUAAGGGAGCUUGACUGAGAGACAUACAGGUCGAUCAGGUACGAAAGUAGAGCAUAGUGAUCCGGUGGUUCCGCAUGGAAGGGCCAUCGCUCAAAGGAUAAAAGGUACGCCGGGGAUAACAGGCUGAUCUCCCCCAAGAGCUCAUAUCGACGGGGGGGUUUGGCACCUCGAUGUCGGCUCGUCACAUCCUGGGGCUGGAGAAGGUCCCAAGGGUUGGGCUGUUCGCCCAUUAAAGUGGCACGCGAGCUGGGUUCAGAACGUCGUGAGACAGUUCGGUCUCUAUCUACUGUGGGCGCAAGAAAUUUGAGUGGAUCUGAUUCUAGUACGAGAGGACCGAAUUGGACUGACCUCUAGUGUAUCUGUUGUUCCGCCAGGAGCACCGCAGAGUAGCUACGUCGGGAAGGGAUAAGCGCUGAAAGCAUAUAAGCGCGAAACCCACCACAAGAUGAGAUUUCUUUUAAGGGUCGUGGAAGAUGACCACGUCGAUAGGCUAUAGGUGUAAAGGCAGUAAUGUCAUAGCCGAGUAGUACUAAUAACCC
This 1412-nucleotide ribosomal RNA is filed under the name metagenome. Its description in RNAcentral is "bacterial LSU rRNA". It matches the Rfam family "Bacterial large subunit ribosomal RNA", at positions 1475 to 2910 of the family's 2925-position model. The record is from RNAcentral.